This 366-nucleotide unclassified non-coding RNA is filed under the name uncultured soil eukaryote. RNAcentral describes it as "sequence contains 5.8S rRNA gene, ITS2, 28S rRNA gene". The record is from RNAcentral.
AACGCACAUUGCGCUUCCUGGUAUUCCGGGAAGCACACUUCUUUGAGUAUCUAUAAAACCUCUCAUGUAAUUGGUCUUUACUUCUCUUCACGGAGCGGUUUUGAUCAAGAGCAUGGAAUUUGGAACUCUGUCUUCAACAAGAUGGUUUUCUCAAAAACAUUGUCAGAAGCGGGUACUUGGUUAUAGCUUGCUUCAUUGAGAAUGAAGAGUUUGAGAACGCAAGUUCUUGAUAAUUGAUUUUCAUUUGAAGUUUGAUGUAACUGUUUUACUGGUAACCGAUUGAAACUUCUGCUACACUCACAUAUUAAGGGAGCAAUCCUUUAAGAACUAGGUCUCAAAUGAAGUGGGAAAACCCGCUGAACUUAA